This 1208-nucleotide long non-coding RNA is filed under the name Canis lupus familiaris (dog). RNAcentral's name for it is "lncRNA (ENSCAFG00000059265.1, ENSCAFG00845018080.1)". The record is from RNAcentral. Lineage: Eukaryota; Metazoa; Chordata; Mammalia; Carnivora; Canidae.
AGGACUGGUCUUGUCAGAUGUAGUCCAUACCGAUCAGAUACAGUAUAGCUCCAGAAGCAGGGUCGCUGGGUCAAAGGGGCAGCGUAUUUGAAGUUUCCAUGGCGACACCUCCAGGGAGAGUUGUACCCUUCCUGGCUUCCACUGAGGACGAACAGCAUCUGCUUCCCUAGCAUUUGGCCAGUGGGGUGUUUUGUCAAACUUUUGGAAGUUUUCCAAUUUGACCAAGGACAACUUGUGCCCUCGUGGAGUUUUACUUUUCAUGUCUGUGAUUAUGAGUGCUCACACAUAUUUAGGACCAUUGGACUUUCUCCUCCUGUGAACUGCUCACGACCUUUGCCCAUUUUCCUACUGGUCUUAUGGCUUUACUCUUUAUUUCUCGCAGCUCGUCACAUCUUUCAGAGAAAAAUCCUUUUCUGUGUCAUGAGCUACAAAUGCUUCCCCUAGUUGUCUUUUUUCUUUGUGUUGUGCUCUGAUGACAUUUUCUAUAUAGAGGUGAUUGUUCUUGGUUCCAGUCACGAUUAUGAGCUUUUUUCCCCGUUGCUUCUGGAGUUUGAGACACAGAUGUGCCAAUCUACUCCAAGGUUAUUGGAUCAAUCAGAGUCCUAAUCAGAGUCCCAAUUAUGAUAAUUCCAGAAGAGUUUAUGUACAAAGGAAUUAGUUACAAGGGGUGUGGGCAAGAUUUAGGCCUCCACCCCUCAAGGGCAGUACAAGAAUCAGGGCCUAGGAGCAAUAGAGGUGUCAUUACCCCUGGGCUUCAGGGGGCAAUGAGCAGAGGGGUUAUUACAGCCCAGAGGGAGAGAUAGCUGUGUAGACCAGGCCAGCUAGAGAAGAACAUUUGUGUCUGUUGGGGAAACAGUGGCCUACAAGAGGAAGCCAAGAAGUGAACACCCUACCCUUAUUUCCCUCGGGCCCUCCUGUGUCCUGCCAUGGCUCCCCAUUGGCCAGAGGGUGCAGGAUCCUACUGGAAUCAUCCAUGCGAGCAGCCUUUCACAGCGGACAAUAGGGAUGAUGGAGUGUUAGCUUGCUGUGGGAGCCCCGUGUCAUCCAACCCGACCAGCUAUGGACCAGCUCCUGUGCUGCAGUUUCUUUGUUGUUCUCAGGAAGGCGAAAUAUUCUUCCAUUUUCAGCCCAGCAGAGUGGAAUUUAUACCCAAACAUCCUCAUCAGAUUGACAAAGCAUCCUGCAGGGACAUCAUGGAGCUCAUUUAA